This 107-nucleotide small nucleolar RNA is filed under the name Jatropha curcas. RNAcentral describes it as "Plant small nucleolar RNA R71". It matches the Rfam family "Plant small nucleolar RNA R71". Rfam says of the family: R71 is a member of the C/D box family of snoRNAs containing the C (UGAUGA) and D (CUGA) box motifs. Multiple nearly identical copies of this snoRNA have been identified in Arabidopsis, and it is thought to function as a 2'-O-ribose methylation guide for 18S ribosomal RNA. The record is from Rfam by way of RNAcentral. Lineage: Eukaryota; Viridiplantae; Streptophyta; Magnoliopsida; Malpighiales; Euphorbiaceae.
AAACUGUGAUGCGGGCACUUUCUCAAAAAGUUCUUGAAUCUUUCCCAAGCUUCAUACAGGCUUUCUUGAUCAUGGUGAGCAAAUGUCAUUAUCUCAUUGCGCAGUUU